This 253-nucleotide ribosomal RNA is filed under the name uncultured bacterium. RNAcentral's name for it is "partial 16S ribosomal RNA". It matches the Rfam family "Bacterial small subunit ribosomal RNA", at positions 524 to 776 of the family's 1533-position model. The record is from RNAcentral.
UACGUAGGGUGCAAGCGUUAAUCGGAAUUACUGGGCGUAAAGCGUGCGCAGGCGGUUUUGUAAGUCUGUCGUGAAAGCCCCGGGCUCAACCUGGGAAUUGCGAUGGAGACUGCAAGGCUUGAAUCUGGCAGAGGGGGGUAGAAUUCCACGUGUAGCAGUGAAAGGCGUAGAGAUGUGGAGGAACACCGAUGGCGAAGGCAGCCCCCUGGGUCAAGAUUGACGCUCAUGCACGAAAGCGUGGGGAGCAAACAGG